RNAcentral lists this ribosomal RNA (497 nucleotides) under uncultured bacterium. Its description in RNAcentral is "partial 16S ribosomal RNA". It matches the Rfam family "Bacterial small subunit ribosomal RNA", at positions 28 to 507 of the family's 1533-position model. The record is from RNAcentral.
GAUGAACGCUGGCGGCGUGCCUAAUACAUGCAAGUCGAGCGAACAGACGAGGAGCUUGCUCCUCUGACGUUAGCGGAGGACGGGUGAGUAACACGUGGAUAAUCUACCUAUAAGACUGGGAUAACUUCGGGAAACCGGAGCUAAUACCGGAUAAUAUAUUGCACCGCAUGGUUCAAUAGUGAAAGACGGUUUUGCUGUCACUUCUCGAUGGAUCUGCGCCGCAUUAGCUAGUUGGUAAGGUAACGGCUUACCAAGGCGACGAUGCGUAUCCGACCUGAGAGGGUGAUCGGCCACACGGGAACUGAGACACGGUCCAGACUCCUACGGGAGGCAGCAGUAGGGAAUCUUCCGCAAUGGGCGAAAGCCUGACGGAGCAACGCCGCGUGAGUGAUGAAGGUCUUCGGAUCGUAAAACUCUGUUAUUAGGGAAGAACAAAUGUGUAAGUAACUAUGCACGUCUUGACGGUACCUAAUCAGAAAGCCACGGCUAACUACGUG